RNAcentral lists this ribosomal RNA (647 nucleotides) under Fusarium oxysporum. RNAcentral describes it as "eukaryotic LSU rRNA". The stretch from base 301 to 454 matches the Rfam family "5.8S ribosomal RNA". The record is from RNAcentral. Lineage: Eukaryota; Fungi; Ascomycota; Sordariomycetes; Hypocreales; Nectriaceae.
CUACCGAUUGAAUGGCUCAGUGAGGCGUCCGGACUGGCCCAGAGAGGUGGGCAACUACCACUCAGGGCCGGAAAGCUCUCCAAACUCGGUCAUUUAGAGGAAGUAAAAGUCGUAACAAGGUCUCCGUUGGUGAACCAGCGGAGGGAUCAUUACCGAGUUUACAACUCCCAAACCCCUGUGAACAUACCACUUGUUGCCUCGGCGGAUCAGCCCGCUCCCGGUAAAACGGGACGGCCCGCCAGAGGACCCCUAAACUCUGUUUCUAUAUGUAACUUCUGAGUAAAACCAUAAAUAAAUCAAAACUUUCAACAACGGAUCUCUUGGUUCUGGCAUCGAUGAAGAACGCAGCAAAAUGCGAUAAGUAAUGUGAAUUGCAGAAUUCAGUGAAUCAUCGAAUCUUUGAACGCACAUUGCGCCCGCCAGUAUUCUGGCGGGCAUGCCUGUUCGAGCGUCAUUUCAACCCUCAAGCACAGCUUGGUGUUGGGACUCGCGUUAAUUCGCGUUCCCCAAAUUGAUUGGCGGUCACGUCGAGCUUCCAUAGCGUAGUAGUAAAACCCUCGUUACUGGUAAUCGUCGCGGCCACGCCGUUAAACCCCAACUUCUGAAUGUUGACCUCGGAUCAGGUAGGAAUACCCGCUGAACUUAAG